This 326-nucleotide small RNA is filed under the name Oryza sativa Japonica Group (Japanese rice). RNAcentral describes it as "sRNA Os07g0462450". Lineage: Eukaryota; Viridiplantae; Streptophyta; Magnoliopsida; Poales; Poaceae. The record is from RNAcentral.
UUAGCUGUAAGUGCCCAUGCCAAUGUUGGAGCCACCGUACGGGGCACCCCCAGCAGCAUCGCGGGACUUGGAGUAGCUAACGUAGUAGAAUUCGCUGAGGAUGGCUGUGAAGAAGGUGAAGGCCGCACCAGCAGCAAAGACACCUUUGCGCACAGUCUCGCAGGAGACGGACUCGCCAACGAACAUCCCCCUGUACCGGGUGUGGUACGCAUUCCGGAUGGAUCCGGCCAUCAAGCAUGCCUCAGCAAUGAGGAAGUGAUGGUGAUUUACCAUGCGAAGAGGAAGAGGAUGAGGGCGCAGGCGCGGGAUCCGCCGGGCUUGAGGCC